RNAcentral lists this RNase P RNA (403 nucleotides) under Planktothricoides sp. SR001. RNAcentral describes it as "Bacterial RNase P class A". It matches the Rfam family "Bacterial RNase P class A". From Rfam's summary of the family: Ribonuclease P (RNase P) is a ubiquitous endoribonuclease, found in archaea, bacteria and eukarya as well as chloroplasts and mitochondria. Its best characterised activity is the generation of mature 5'-ends of tRNAs by cleaving the 5'-leader elements of precursor-tRNAs. RNAcentral also lists the same sequence under 4 other names. Lineage: Bacteria; Bacillati; Cyanobacteriota; Cyanophyceae; Oscillatoriales; Oscillatoriaceae. The record is from Rfam by way of RNAcentral.
AGAGUAAGGGUAGGCGGUUGCGGACAGGUUUCCUGUCUGAGGAAAGUCCGGGCUCCCGAAAGACCAAACUUGCUGGGUAACGCCCAGUGCGGGCGACCGUGAGGAUAGUGCCACAGAAAGAUACCGCCAAUUAGCAAUUAGCUUUUAGCCUUGGGCUGAUAACUGAUUACUAAUUGGUAAGGGUGCAACGGUGCGGUAAGAGCGCACCAGCAGCGUCGAGAGGCGCUGGCUAGGUAAACCCCGGUUGGGAGCAAGGUGGAUGGAACUAUGGUUGGUCUUUUACCAGUUCCGAUAUGAGGAACCGCAAGAGGCGUUUGGUGACAAGCGUCCCAGAUAGAUAACCGCCCUCGAAAGUGCUUGGCACUUUUGGAGAACAGAACCCGGCUUAUGACUUACUCUUUCC